GCUGGUUGCUCAGUGUUUAAGCACUUGGCUGCUAACCGAAAGACUGGUGGUUCAAAUCCACCAGCUGCU
This 69-nucleotide transfer RNA is filed under the name Loxodonta africana (African savanna elephant). It matches the Rfam family "tRNA". From Rfam's summary of the family: Transfer RNA (tRNA) molecules are approximately 80 nucleotides in length. Their secondary structure includes four short double-helical elements and three loops (D, anti-codon, and T loops). Lineage: Eukaryota; Metazoa; Chordata; Mammalia; Proboscidea; Elephantidae. The record is from Rfam by way of RNAcentral.